Molecule: ribosomal RNA, 253 nt
Filed under: uncultured bacterium
Lineage: Bacteria
Description: partial 16S ribosomal RNA
Rfam family: Bacterial small subunit ribosomal RNA
Source: RNAcentral
UACGAAGGGGGCUAGCGUUGCUCGGAAUCACUGGGCGUAAAGCGCACGUAGGCGGCUUUUUAAGUCAGGGGUGAAAUCCUGGAGCUCAACUCCAGAACUGCCUUUGAUACUGAGAAGCUUGAGUCCGGGAGAGGUGAGUGGAACUGCGAGUGUAGAGAUGAAAUUCGUAGAUAUUCGCAAGAACACCAGUGGCGAAGGCGGCUCACUGGCCCGGUACUGACGCUGAGAUGCGAAAGCGUGGGGAGCAAACAGG